UGAGGAAUAUUGGACAAUGGGGGCAACCCUGAUCCAGCCAUGCCGCGUGAGUGAAGAAGGCCUUAGGGUUGUAAAGCUCUUUCAGAUGCGAAGAUAAUGACGGUACCAUCAGAAGAAGCUCCGGCUAAAUUCGUGCCAGCAGCCGCGGUAAUACGAAUGGAGCGAGCGUUGUUCGGAAUCACUGGGCGUAAAGCGUAUGUAGGCGGAUAUGAAAGUCAGAAGUGAAAUCCCGGGGCUCAACCCCGGAACUGCUUUUGAAACUCCAUAUCUAGAAUCCUGGAGAGGUUAGGAGAAUUCCGAGUGUAGAGGUGAAAUUCGCAGAUAUUCGGAGGAAUACCAGUGGCGUAGGCGCCUAACUGGACAGGUAUUGACGCUGAGAUACGAAAGCGUGGGGAGCAAACAGGAUUAGAUACCCCCGUAGUCC
RNAcentral lists this ribosomal RNA (424 nucleotides) under uncultured prokaryote. RNAcentral describes it as "bacterial SSU rRNA". It matches the Rfam family "Bacterial small subunit ribosomal RNA", at positions 355 to 796 of the family's 1533-position model. The record is from RNAcentral.